UAGUCCACGCCGUAAACGAUGAGUGCUAGUUGUUGGGCCUUGAGCUCGGUGACGUAGUUAACGCGUUAAGCACUCCGCCUGGGGAGUACGGUCGCAAGAUUAAAACUCAAAGGAAUUGACGGGGGACCCGCACAAGCGGUGGAGCAUGUGGUUUAAUUCGAGGCAACGCGAAGAACCUUACCAGUCCUUGACAUCCCGAUCGCGAUUAAUGGAGACAUUUUUCUUCAGUUCGGCUGGAUCGGUGACAGGUGCUGCAUGGUUAUCGUCAGCUCGUGUCGUGAGAUGUUGGGUUAAGUCCCGCAACGAGCGCAACCCACGUCCUUAGUUGCCAUCAUUAAGUUGGGCACUCUGGGGAGACUGCCGGGGACAACUCGGAGGAAGGUGUGGACGACGUCAAGUCAUCAUGCCCCUUAGUUCUGGGCUACACACGUACUACAAUGCAACGGACAAAGGGCAGCCAACUAGCGAUAGUGAGCUAAUCCCAUAAACCGUUGCUCAGUUCAGAUUGCAGG
This 512-nucleotide ribosomal RNA is filed under the name uncultured bacterium. RNAcentral describes it as "bacterial SSU rRNA". It matches the Rfam family "Bacterial small subunit ribosomal RNA", at positions 791 to 1304 of the family's 1533-position model. The record is from RNAcentral.